Molecule: long non-coding RNA, 210 nt
Filed under: Elaeis guineensis (African oil palm)
Lineage: Eukaryota; Viridiplantae; Streptophyta; Magnoliopsida; Arecales; Arecaceae
Description: long non-coding RNA (EGUI_LNC022285)
Source: RNAcentral
GGAUGGCAUUUUGUAUUGAUACAUAAGAUUAUAGAAUAAUCUUCCGCAAUAUCACAUGUCAAGUUUUAUUUUUUAUUUUUAAUAUUUUUAAAUAAAAAAUAUAAAUAUAAAUAAUAUGAUAAAAAAAUUAUUCUAUAUAAUAAAAAAUUUAUUCUAUAUAUUAAUAGUAAAAUAAUAUACAGAUAUUAGGAGCGGCAUUCCAUGUCGGCA